AGUGAACGCUGGCGGUAGGCCUAACACAUGCAAGUCGAACGGCAGCACAGUAAGAGCUUGCUCUUACGGGUGGCGAGUGGCGGACGGGUGAGGAAUACAUCGGAAUCUACUUUUUCGUGGGGGAUAACGUAGGGAAACUUACGCUAAUACCGCAUACGACCUACGGGUGAAAGCAGGGGAUCUUCGGACCUUGCGCGAUUGAAUGAGCCGAUGUCGGAUUAGCUAGUUGGCGGGGUAACGGCCCACCAAGGCGACGAUCCGUAGCUGGUCUGAGAGGAUGAUCAGCCACACUGGAACUGAGACACGGUCCAGACUCCUACGGGAGGCAGCAGUGGGGAAUAUUCGACAAUGGGCGCAAGCCUGAUCCAGCCAUACCGCGUGGGUGAAGAAGGCCUUCGGGUUGUAAAGCCCUUUUGUUGGGAAAGAAAAGCAGCAGGUUAAUACCCCGCUGUUCUGACGGUACCCAAAGAAUAAGCACCGGCUAACUUCGUG
RNAcentral lists this ribosomal RNA (492 nucleotides) under uncultured bacterium. RNAcentral describes it as "partial 16S ribosomal RNA". It matches the Rfam family "Bacterial small subunit ribosomal RNA", at positions 29 to 507 of the family's 1533-position model. The record is from RNAcentral.